RNAcentral lists this ribosomal RNA (471 nucleotides) under uncultured bacterium. Its description in RNAcentral is "bacterial SSU rRNA". It matches the Rfam family "Bacterial small subunit ribosomal RNA", at positions 355 to 825 of the family's 1533-position model. The record is from RNAcentral.
UGGGGAAUCUUGCGCAAUGGACGAAAGUCUGACGCAGCGACGCCGCGUGGGUGAUGAAGGCCUUCGGGUUGUAAAGCCCUGUGGGGAGGGACGAAUAAGUGGUGGCUAAUAUCCACCAUGAUGACGGUACCUCCUUAGCAAGCACCGGCUAACUCUGUGCCAGCAGCCGCGGUAAGACAGAGGGUGCAAACGUUGUUCGGAAUUACUGGGCGUAAAGCGCGUGUAGGUGGCAAGGUAAGUCGGGUGUGAAAGCCCUGGGCUCAACCCAGGAAGUGCACUCGAUACUACCUCGCUAGAGUCCCGGAGAGGUUGGUGGAACUCUCGGUGUAGAGGUGAAAUUCGUAGAUAUCGAGAAGAACACCGGUGGCGAAGGCGGCCAACUGGACGGUGACUGACACUGAGACGCGAAAGCGUGGGGAGCAAACAGGAUUAGAUACCCAGGUAGUCCCUGAGCGGGCUGGCAAGGCGCAU